AGGGUUCCUGGCAAGGUGAUUUGCGACUGCGUUUCUAAGAAAAAUCACAUUGCCAGGGAUUACCAC
This 66-nucleotide microRNA precursor is filed under the name Petromyzon marinus (sea lamprey). RNAcentral describes it as "Pma-Mir-23-o2_pre stem-loop". It matches the Rfam family "mir-23 microRNA precursor family", at positions 9 to 65 of the family's 73-position model. Lineage: Eukaryota; Metazoa; Chordata; Hyperoartia; Petromyzontiformes; Petromyzontidae. The record is from RNAcentral.